Molecule: long non-coding RNA, 264 nt
Filed under: Homo sapiens (human)
Lineage: Eukaryota; Metazoa; Chordata; Mammalia; Primates; Hominidae
Description: HSALNT0194238
Source: RNAcentral
CAAAGCCUGCCGGGCGAACCGAAGGCAGCUUUGUGCGGAGCCAUGCCAGGAAGCUUGGGAACCGUGAGCCACAAGAGGGAAAAUCUGUGCAUACAGUGUGGACAUCUAAGUCAUACAUAACAAGCCUAUCGCAUCCUUGGAGCAUGGCACAGCAGGAAUAAAGGAGAAAGAAGCUGGAAUCAGACAGUGGGGGUCAGGGAGAAGAUCUAUAACAUUCUGCUAGGUGGAUGAGAGAUUCAAAGGAGAUGACAUGAUCUGUGAAGG